This is a long non-coding RNA of Mauremys reevesii (Reeves's turtle), 246 nucleotides long. RefSeq lists it as uncharacterized. The transcript is spliced from 3 exons. The record is from RefSeq and is a predicted model, not a curated record. NCBI's taxonomy places the organism in Eukaryota, Metazoa, Chordata, Testudines, Geoemydidae.
GAAACGUGUUUUCAUCGUGUCUCUUUCCCAUUUUCUUCCUUCAGGAACCGACGGAAUCGAAACAAACGAGAGAACGAAACAGGAGCCCCCGGGCCCCGUUUAUCCCCCUUGGAGGAGCCGCGGCUUGGAGCCAAAUCGACCGAAAGACGCCUCGUGCCCCAGAGUCGGGAAAGAAAAGUCCCAGGCCCCCUGCUUUAUGCUGAAGUCCAGCACCCCCUGGUGCCUCGAGCCCCCCCCCCGCCCCCC